RNAcentral lists this ribosomal RNA (408 nucleotides) under uncultured eukaryote. RNAcentral describes it as "bacterial SSU rRNA". It matches the Rfam family "Eukaryotic small subunit ribosomal RNA", at positions 592 to 1013 of the family's 1831-position model. The record is from RNAcentral.
CAAUAGCGUAUAUUAAAGUUGUUGCAGUUAAAAGCUCGUAGUUGGAUUUCUGAUAUAUACUUAUGGUACUUCUUAGUUGACAGUAACCAUUUUGUAAUAUCAUUCAUCUGUUGAUUGUGCACUUAAUUGGGCAUAUUUUUCAGAUCUUUUACUUUGAGUAAAUUAGAGUGUUUCAAGCAAGUUACUGCUAUGAAUACUGCAGCAUGGAAUAAUAAGAUAGGACGUCGGUUCUAUUUUGUUGGUUUCUAGAGCCGAUGUAAUGAUUAAUAGGAACAGUUGGGGCGAUUCGUAUUCAACAGCUAGAGGUGAAAUUCUUAGAUUUGUUGAAGACGAACUACAGCGAAAGCAUUUGCCAAGGAUGUUUUCAUUAAUCAAGAACGAAAGUUAGGGGAUCGAAGAUGAUCAGAU